RNAcentral lists this unclassified non-coding RNA (316 nucleotides) under plant metagenome. Its description in RNAcentral is "partial contains 5.8S ribosomal RNA, internal transcribed spacer 2, and large subunit ribosomal RNA". The stretch from base 1 to 105 matches the Rfam family "5.8S ribosomal RNA", at positions 50 to 154 of the family's 154-position model. The record is from RNAcentral.
GAAAUGCGAUAAGUAGUGUGAAUUGCAGAAUUCAGUGAAUCAUCGAAUCUUUGAACGCACAUUGCGCCCCUUGGUAUUCCAUGGGGCAUGCCUGUUCGAGCGUCAUCUACACCCUCAAGCUCUGCUUGGUGUUGGGCGUCUGUCCCCGCCUCCGCGCGCGGACUCGCCCCAAAUCCAUUGGCAGCGUCCCCUCGCCCCCCUCUCGCGCAGCACGAAUGCGCAUGACGAGGGAGCGGCUCCCGGGAUCGCGACCCACCCCCAAGAUGACCACCGUCUUUGACCUCGGAUCAGGUAGGGAUACCCGCUGAACUUAAGC